AACACCAUUCAAGAUUCAUCAACUUUCAACUUUCUAGAACAAACUUCACUGAAAUAAACAUGAUUGGCACGUGGAUGAACGAACCCAACACUAUGAAAGACUCACAUACCUCGUAGGGAUCACCCCUUGACCAAUUCCACGAGCCUAGCUUCAAGAACUUGAUGAUUCCUUGCUCCUUCUCCUCUUUUCUCCUCUUCUUUUCUCUUCUC
RNAcentral lists this long non-coding RNA (209 nucleotides) under Solanum tuberosum (potato). RNAcentral's name for it is "long non-coding RNA (STUB_LNC003709)". Lineage: Eukaryota; Viridiplantae; Streptophyta; Magnoliopsida; Solanales; Solanaceae. The record is from RNAcentral.